Long non-coding RNA from Vespula vulgaris, 869 nucleotides. RefSeq lists it as uncharacterized. Lineage: Eukaryota; Metazoa; Arthropoda; Insecta; Hymenoptera; Vespidae. The transcript is spliced from 2 exons. The record is from RefSeq and is a predicted model, not a curated record.
UAUCUGCAAUGAUCGUUCGGCCAGAAUAUACAAGUUAACAAUGUGCAAUACCUUUUUUUCCUUGUCUCAUCACAUAUGAAAAUAAGCUUCAGAAAUACCUUUCAGGCUGUUGAUCACAUUACGCUCCUGCAUGAAGAUCUUUUAUUUCUUCUUGUAUCUCUCUUUUUUUAUAAACUCAAUUCCAGCGGGCUGCAUAAUUUCAAUGCUUAAAUUUCAAUAAUAUUAACUUCACUUAACAUAAAUUUCUAAUAUGAUCUGUGAGAGUGGCUGCAUUGCAUUCGGUAUAUACCAUAAUCCUAAUAAAUAGAUUAGAAAUGUUCUUAGCAUAAGUCUAUUUUGUAAAUUACUUUAUGUGAAAUAAAUUAUAUCAAACUAUAAUUUUAUAUAUACACACACAUACACACACUCAUACACACACACAUACAUUUCACAUAAUGGGAAGCAUAUUAAGAUUAAAAAAAAAAUUAGAUUAAUAUUUUGUAAUCAAUAUAUACAUAUAUGCAUAUAAGGUAUAUAUAUGUAUAUAUAUUAUAUACUAUUAUUUUUAUUUUUCAACAGUUAAGAAUCCCUUGCAAGGAGGAAAAAUAUUUUUUACUUACUAUUAAUUGCAAGUGUAUUAAUUUAAUUUUAAAUAUCAAGGCCUCGUGCAUACUGCAGCAGUGAUUAAAGUUUAGAACGAUAUGCUAAAUAAAUUAGCAAAAUUGUUCAUGUUUGUAUUAUUCCUUAUCCUAAAAUUAACUAAUGAAAUCAUCUCGCUGCUCCAGUAUGUAUGCCAUAUAUGAGUUAAUUAAAUGAUUUGAAAGAAAUAAUAAAUUUUAAAUGGAAAUUCAAUUAUUAUGUCUUUUGAAUAUCUAGAUAUAUCAAUAUCA